This 401-nucleotide ribosomal RNA is filed under the name uncultured fungus. RNAcentral's name for it is "SSU rRNA". It matches the Rfam family "Eukaryotic small subunit ribosomal RNA", at positions 555 to 961 of the family's 1831-position model. The record is from RNAcentral. Lineage: Eukaryota; Fungi.
GCAAGUCUGGUGCCAGCAGCCGCGGUAAUUCCAGCUCCAAUAGCGUAUAUUAAAGUUGUUGUGGUUAAAAAGCUCGUAGUUGAACCUUGGGCCUGGCUGGCCGGUCCGCCUCACCGCGUGUACUGGUCCGGCCGGGCCCUUCCCUCUGUGGAACCCCAUGCCCUUCACUGGGUGUGGCGGGGAAACAGGACUUUUACUGUGAAAAAAUUAGAGUGCUCCAGGCAGGCCUAUGCUCGAAUACAUUAGCAUGGAAUAAUAGAAUAGGACGUGUGGUUCUAUUUUGUUGGUUUCUAGGACCGCCGUAAUGAUUAAUAGGGACAGUCGGGGGCAUCAGUAUUCAAUUGUCAGAGGUGAAAUUCUUGGAUUUAUUGAAGACUAACUACUGCGAAAGCAUUUGCCAA